This is a long non-coding RNA of Passer montanus (Eurasian tree sparrow), 697 nucleotides long. RefSeq lists it as uncharacterized. The transcript is spliced from 4 exons. NCBI's taxonomy places the organism in Eukaryota, Metazoa, Chordata, Aves, Passeriformes, Passeridae. The record is from RefSeq and is a predicted model, not a curated record.
AAGUGAAAUUCUCUCCACUGUGCCUCCUCCAAAUGAGAAUUUGCCUAGAGGGAGAGUAUUUGCCCUUAAAACACUCAUUAGUAGCACACUGCAUUUGGGGUUCAGUGACUUUCCCUUCCCAGCAUCCCAUCUCAUACACUGAGCCGCAGCCGCCCCGGGCAUUGGGGUCGGGAGAAGCCCUCGGGUGAGCUGUGCUGUGCAGAGGCACGUUGUGUAACACCCGUCUGCUAAGAGCUGAGGCACUGAGUCCUGCCAGACUUCUUGGCUCUGAGCGAGCUCCAAACACUGCAAUAGUGGCUGUUGCUGAACACAAGUGGUCCACAGAACCAUGAACAUCCUGGCUGGUAAGAGCAACAAGAUGUCACAGAAGCACUAAAACUGUCAUUCUACAAAAGCACCUGCAGUGAGGCGCAUACCUGAGAAAGAAACAGCUGAAGUUCCUGCACAUUCCUUGAAGCUGGAAGGUUUCCUGAGGGCAGCCAUGAUUUAGAUUUACAGUUCCGUGUAAAGAGAAUAACCCUGCAACUCAAACACAGAAGGCUUGGAAGAGACAAUGAUUUUUCAGCUGACCUUUUAUUUCAAUAAAUUAUUUUAUUUUGUAUAUCAACACAAGUACUAUGUUAAAAAAGUUAAUGCUAUUGAAAGUGAUUAGCAAGCACAUCUGAGUUAACAUUAUGUAAACAUAAUAAAAGUUGAC